GUCCACGCCGUAAACUAUGGGUGCUAGCCGUUGGGAAGCUUGCUUUUCAGUGGCGCAGCUAACGCAUUAAGCACCCCGCCUGGGGAGUACGGUCGCAAGAUUAAAACUCAAAGGAAUUGACGGGGCCCGCACAAGCGGUGGAGCAUGUGGUUUAAUUCGAAGCAACGCGCAGAACCUUACCUACCCUUGACAUGUCUAGUAUGGGCACCGGAGACGGAGUCCUUCAGUUCGGCUGGCUAGAACACAGGUGCUGCAUGGCUGUCGU
This 265-nucleotide ribosomal RNA is filed under the name uncultured bacterium. RNAcentral describes it as "partial 16S ribosomal RNA". It matches the Rfam family "Bacterial small subunit ribosomal RNA", at positions 793 to 1055 of the family's 1533-position model. The record is from RNAcentral.